AUGGCCAGCAAGCUAAUUGAAACUGUAGGGACUCCUCUUGUUGACAAGGAUGCUCUCAAUGCUCUUAUUCAAUUACUUCGAAUUAUUCAGCCUAUUUACAAGGGCCAGCUGGAGAGGCUUCUCUUGAACCUUUGUGAUCACCUGGAAAGCAGAAAGUUGCUGGUUCAAAUUCUGGUGGACAUGCUUAUGCUUGAUCUGCAGGGAUCUUCUAAGAAAUCAAUGGAUGCAACUGAGCCAUCAUUUAGGCUGUAUGGGUGCCAUGCAAAUAUCACAUAUUCACGCCCUCAAUCCUCAGAUGGUGAUUCUCAUGAGCUCGCAUUGAGAGAGAGAUUUCAAGUGUCCAUAAGAGGAUAA
This 354-nucleotide ribosomal RNA is filed under the name Triticum aestivum (bread wheat). Its description in RNAcentral is "partial small subunit ribosomal RNA". The record is from RNAcentral. Lineage: Eukaryota; Viridiplantae; Streptophyta; Magnoliopsida; Poales; Poaceae.